Molecule: RNA transcript, 1785 nt
Organism: Hyla sarda
Lineage: Eukaryota; Metazoa; Chordata; Amphibia; Anura; Hylidae
Exons: 6
Source: RefSeq, a predicted model, not a curated record
UAGUGUGGUGUUGUCAUCAGCUUUCUAGCCCCUCCCUCUCUACUGCGAUGACACAUCCUCAUCUGAUGUCUCAGGAGCUGUGGCCGGAUCUGGUCUCUGAGCUCAAGCCCCACCCACUGAGUGAUGUCACCACCUCUCACCAGCCCCUACAGCCUACAUGAUCACCCCCUGUCAUAUACGAAUACAGUAUAUGUUUUUCAGGCAAGUGAGGAAUAAGGUGUGUUUACUGCAUGCUGCCUAAUGAUAAACGAUGCCAGGCAGGAAAAGACGGUUAAUGAAUACAGCAGGUGCUGCACCAUUACUGAUUGUGUAAUAGUCUUCUGUGCAACAGAUCUGGGCAGGAGUGGUGUGAGUGGGGAGCAGGCAAAGAAAGGAGGACUAUGAACAAGAGCUGAAGGACAGCAAUGCAUUCUGGGAAUUGCAGUACGACCGGCAAAUACAGGAUUUUAACCCCUAAAUCAAUUGGAUUUUGGGUGAUUUCAGGACUGCGGAAGGCAGGAAACUACAGUACGAAUGUUCUCAACGGCAUCAAUGGCCACCUAUGGUGAAACGCAAACGUGAACAGAAAUAUACUGAAUUAAUAAGUAGCACAUUUACAACAGCGAUGAAAUAUUAUGGAACAGAACAUAAUAGUAACUAUUUGCAGAGACAUAACUUAAGGCUCCUAGGACCCAUUACCAAUUCUGAAAUUGCAGCGGUAACAGUCCGGAGCGGCGGGGACACAAAAGCCUUCAUGGAGGACCAGCGUGGUCCCGUACCAGAAUGCUAGCGCAUAGGAGGAGUAUAGUGAGAAGAAUGCAAACCCAAAGGAAACAUUUGUUGUGAUGGUCUUUUUGAUUCCUAUGCUCUUGGCAUGUUCCAAAUUCUUUUCAUAUCUAAAAUAUAACCAAUAUAAAAUAUCAUACUAAAUGUGAAAUGGACUAUUAGACCUCAAGUCCUACCCAGCCAUUCUGCAAGUGAUCCCCCGUACAGUGGAAAGUCAAGCCCUGGCGGAGAAAGCAACUGGACCUUGUCAGAACCCAAGCCGGCCUGGAGAAUCUUCAGUCUCAUAUCAAGCAUUUUUCAGCUCUUUUGGGCUCAGAGGCUGUUACCCAGAGAACCCCAGUGACCAUAUUGACCUCCCAAGUGACCUACGGGCUCCUUGCACAGCCCCCCUAUAUAAUAUGGGGAGGGUCUGUUAUUUUUCUCUUCUCUCUGGAGUUCCUGCUGAGGUCCAGUGCAGUCAUCUCAGUCCCUGUGUCCGGCCAUUGGAGGCCUCAAGUCUAAAUUACUGCCGCUACCAGUCGGUCCUGAGUGAGUCAAGUCAUCUCAAUUGUCUGUCACCAUCUCAAGUCAAGUCACCUAUAGUCACCGUGGCCUGCAUUAUAGUCUGUCAAGUCACUGCAAGUCCCAGCAAGCCUGCGAGGUCUCCCUGUGUCAUUGGCCACCUCUCUGGGAUAUUGGCUGAACUGUAUAGACUGUAUCAUCUGUCUAACCUCAGUAAAGAUACCGUUACCCUUAACCUGGCCUUGGACUCUUUAUUGGGCCUGCCUAACCUAGGAUUAGCGGUACUACCUUCGAGUGGUUAUAAGACCAAACCGCGCUCUGGCAUCACGACAAGAAGGGGUUCAUACUAUCUACCCCUGGAGCAAUAACAUCUGCCCCCCUUACACCUCACAUCACACCCCAUGGCGCACAACAGAAAAAAUUGUAUUUAAUGAAAUUUUUAUUAAUUUUUAAACAGUAUUUUAAAAUCUCUGGGCGGGCAGAGAACUAAACAUCAAGCUGGCAGUAUAAAAAUGUAAA